Long non-coding RNA from Lethenteron reissneri (Far Eastern brook lamprey), 1376 nucleotides. RefSeq lists it as uncharacterized. NCBI's taxonomy places the organism in Eukaryota, Metazoa, Chordata, Hyperoartia, Petromyzontiformes, Petromyzontidae. The record is from RefSeq and is a predicted model, not a curated record.
AACGAAGUGGCUUAUCAUCAUCAUCAUCACGUGGACAUUUAUAGCAGCCAAAUACUCUAGACGCGUGAUGCUGAUUCUAAAUGUGAAGGGAAAACCCGGAGAAGAAUCCACGCGGCCAUGGGGGAGGGAGACACGCAAACUCCGAAUACAGCAGGCGUCAGGGUCGCGAUCGAACCCACGACCCUCCUGUAUACCAGGCGAGAGGUGGGACAAAGUCAUUGUUAUGCAAGUCCAAGUCGAGUCUGAAGUCAUCAAAUUCAUGACUCGAGUCUGACUCGAGUCCAAGUCACAUGACUCGAGUCCACACCUCAGGUGGGGGAGCGGUGGUGUUGCGGUCAGCGCUGUAGGGGCAAGCGCUGUUAGCGAGCACCUAUGAAGGCCGGAACGGUACACGAGGGGGUGGGUGGCCAGCACCACGCCAGACCGCCUUUGUCUCCCCAGUGGCGAUGUUUACACACCGCACCAGGUACUCAUUUGAGGCUAAGUCGACCUAGGGGAGGCGCAGGACCUGUUCAUAUAAUCAUCACUGGUGUUGGCCGUCAGUGGGAAUCGAAUCCGGGUCGCCAGGUUCAUAGCGCAGCGCGCUAACCGCUACACUACCGCUAACACACGAUGCAUACAGCACACGCACACAGACACACACGCACACACGUACACACACACGCACACACACAUACACAUAAGACAUGGAGAGCCACUCAGCAUCCAAUAGUACAAUAACAAGGACGCAAAUCUUGUAAAAUUAGUUUAACAAGAAGGAGGAGGAGUCGGGGUGGGGGGUGUGUGAUUAUUUCGGAACCAGGAACGUAAACCGAUAUAUACCUCGUAGAUAUAUUAUCUGUCGAACGCGGUUUUGCCCAACGCGGCAUUUUACAUGAACGUAACCUCGCGUUGGGCGAGGUCUGCCAGUAUUAUUCCCCUUCCUGGCUCUCGGAAGCGUCGUUCCUCUCCAUUGGGAACACUUUUCCUUUUAAUUGUAUUAAUCAGCGAGCAGACGGGGGGAUUGACCACGGCUUCCGACGAUGAUUGUUACAAUUGUUCUGGGCAUAGCAUCGGGCGAUGGUUGAACAAAAGAUGACUUCUCUUACUGAUGAGACCCAACCGAGUUUGAAAGUUGGCCAAAUGUAUUCUCUCAUGCUUAGGCACCCUGAUCGUGGACAAACUGACUUUGAUCCGUGUCGCCCGGGUCCACAGAGAAUCACUGUCUUUUUCAAGAAGACACCCAGACGAUACUAUGAUGAUGACUGUAAAGCGUUCUGACACUUUAAUUGCGAUUACGCAUGAGACACUGUCUUUGAAAUGCCGUGCGCGUGUUACAACAUGGCUCGCCUCUCAAUGAGCCAAGGAUGUGGAAUAACAAAAUAAAUAAUCACUUA